RNAcentral lists this non-coding RNA (47 nucleotides) under Daubentonia madagascariensis (aye-aye). The record is from RNAcentral. Lineage: Eukaryota; Metazoa; Chordata; Mammalia; Primates; Daubentoniidae.
CCACACUGAGCCGGGCCUGGCGGGGUGAGGUAGUAGGUUGUGUGGUU